This is a long non-coding RNA of Helianthus annuus (common sunflower), 872 nucleotides long. RefSeq lists it as uncharacterized. The record is from RefSeq and is a predicted model, not a curated record. The transcript has 8 exons. Lineage: Eukaryota; Viridiplantae; Streptophyta; Magnoliopsida; Asterales; Asteraceae.
GCCCCAAAUUAUCUCCCCUAAAACUACCAGCCCCAAAUUAACCUUAGCAAACCCUUCAGCGAUAACUCCCUAAGAACACCCACCGUCUCCUCCCACCGUCUCCACUGUGAACCGCUUCCGAUCUGCAAUUUCAUCUAUCAGAUGAAUACAGAUGAAUACUGAAAUCUCAUUGGACAGAGGUAUCUAUGCUGCUUCUUGAUGUGGACUUUUGAUUGUUAAUGGAGGUUGAUGAUGAGGAUCUUGAAGACCAUUCACUUAUGGAACUUGCAGGUUAUAUGCUUGAAGAAAGGUUUAAAUUAACAGGUCAUCGGAGUAGGGCUACAAAAGAGAAACAAUACUGUGACAGCCACCUGGCACCUUUCUACAGAAUCGAGUUUGUGACGAGAGGAGGGAUUAUGUUAAGGGGAGAUUUGGUUGGAUCUAAGUACAUUCAUAGGAGGUUGAAUGAGUGGUGAAUGUUGUACGGGGUUCUUCAAGCCGUGCAACUAUUUGGCUCAGAGAGCUGCACAUGGGCUCCUUUGAGCGGACUCGAUUUACUAAGGGUAAUGUUUUGGCCUUUCGAAGGAUAUGCAUCUUCAAAUGGACUCGACUAUCUUUAAAAGAAUACAGGACGGUCAUCGUAUACGAUUGUGGAUCAUAGAUAUCGCAAGAAGUAUAAAAGUGUUGAUUUGAAGCCUAUCAAGAAUUGGCUUAGACAGAUCCUUUACGAGGAGUAGGUGCUUGAUGUCAAGCGGAUGAAUGGCCUUACAACUGAUCCACAAAUGCUUGAUGUCGCUUCAGAUAACGUCAGAAGGGAGGCAUCCACCAUCUCCCAUAAUGUCAGUGAAACAAGUUAUUUCUUCUCUUUAUUUAGUUGAUUAUUUUGAAUGGGU